ACAUAUUUAUGAUAUAAUAUUUAAAUAUACUAUAUAAAUAAAAAUAAAAAUAAAAACAGACAAUUAAAAAAUUGAAUGCGUGCAAAACGGACAAUCUCAUGAAAAUAUAAGUACAUUAAUUCACAUAUGUAUAUAGACUGUUAGAAAAAAUCAUCAGCAGCGUGUUGCGAUCUACUUGCAUGCCAAUCGAGAAUACAUUCAGUGCCAAAAGAACUCACGAAUAUCGUGGACGCUCUCACGCUUUCAAAGCGCGCAAAAUUUCAAGUGCAUAACUCAAAGAAAAUCGAGAAUAAAAUACCAAAAGACAUAAGCCUACAAAUAUUUUUACGAAUGCAAUCAGUCUGAAAUAUUUUCAAAUUCUUGCAUCAUUUUUUGACGCUGCGCAAAAGACGUCAUUGUACUUGCUAAAGCACAUUUGCUCCAUCACUGGAAUUCGCACGUACACACAUACAUACAUACACAUAAAGAAAACACAAAAUCAAAAACAACAAACAAAAAAAAUUACAGCUACAGAGUGACGCGUAAAGUGUGAAGAGAGUGUGCGAAGACGUUAAAAUAUUUUGGUUUAUAUCUGAAAUUCUGCUCGCCAAGUCUUAGCGCAUCUAGCAGUGCGCCCAUACUAGCCACAUACGCACAUAUAUUCACAUACACACACACACACACUUCCAUAUAUACGAUUUAGACGACUGACGAACACUUCGUUGUGCUUGCGAAAUUUACCGACCGCCGUUUUAAACACCACUCCUCCACCAACCACUUGCUCAUUUGCCCACUUGCCGGUUGCUCGGCCUUGCUCAUCCGCUUCGGUUGACAAUUUUCCCGGCAUCCGUUCGCGCUUUUACUGCUACUCAGCAGACCUUGCCUUUCCUCUUUUUUUCGUGCCAGUCUUCGGUUGUCCUCUUCGUACACUCACAUAGUUUAGAAGUUGCCAUCGUUUGGGACUUCGCCAGCAUUCAAGCAUCGAAGCAUCCAAAUCAUCAUCAUCACCAUCAUAGCCGUCAGCAGGCGCCAAACUCUUGAGUCUUCUCGAGGUAUAGUUGGAAGAGCGGCUACGAUAGGCGAACAGUCUGCUGAAAUCCGUCGUUGUCGUCGUUCGCUCGUAGUUGAUAUUUGCGGCGAAAUAAUUUGUAAAAUUCGUUAUCCGUCCAUGCCAUGCGCGAUAAAAUCACACAACUAUUUUGCUUGCAAAAGAACGCAUGCAAAAAUAAUACAACAGAUAAUCGAGGACAUAAUGUGCCAAUUAAAGUCACGAGCAACGGGACAACGAGUGCCAAUGGGUCUCUUGGGGCAGAAGGGCCCGAAACAGAGACCGACUCAUCAGGGACCGGGGGGAUGCGGAAGCCGUUGGAGAGGAAGGGCUCAGCGCCGAACGACGCUAUUCACCUCCAGAGACGGGUGGGACUCUUCAGUGGGGUGGCUUUAAUUGUCGGGACCAUGAUAGGGUCUGGAAUAUUUGUGUCGCCUUCAGGUCUACUAGUUCGUACUGGUUCCGUUGGUGUUAGCUUUAUAAUAUGGCUGGCCUGUGGUUUGCUCUCGUUGUUGGGCGCUCUGGCAUAUGCUGAAUUGGGUACGAUGAAUACAUCGUCUGGCGCUGAGUGGGCAUAUUUUAUGGACGCAUUUGGUCCGGCUCCCGCAUUUUUAUUCUCAUGGGUAUCGACAUUGGUCCUGAAGCCAUCGCAAAUGGCUAUAAUUUGUCUCUCCUUUGCGCAGUAUGGAGUUGAGGCAUUCGUUGCCGAAUGUGAUCCACCAACAUCGGUGGUUAAAAUGGUUGCACUGCUGGCAAUUGUUAUGAUACUGUUCGUGAAUUGUUAUAGUGUGAAUCUGGGCAUGGCUGUGCAGAAUAUAUUCACCGCUGCCAAAUUGGUUGCCGUCCUGAUUGUUAUCUGUGGCGGCGCUUGGAAACUAUUCCAAGGCAAUACACAACAUCUGUCGAAUGCAUUUAGUGGCAACACACCCACCAUUGGCGCGAUAGCGACCGCUUUUUACACAGGCCUCUGGGCGUACGAUGGCUGGAAUAAUUUGAACUAUGUCACUGAGGAGAUCAAGAAUCCAAGCAAGAAUUUGCCACGGUCCAUUAUGAUUGGCAUACCAUUAGUGACGCUAUGCUACGCUCUCAUCAACAUCUCAUAUUUGGCGGCGAUGUCACCUACCGAAAUGAUCGAUUCGGAAGCAGUGGCCGUGACCUUCGGUAAUCGCAUUCUGGGCGCUAUGGCUUGGCUAAUGCCGCUCAGUGUGACAGUGAGCACCUUUGGUAGCGCCAAUGGGACUCUAUUCGCAGCAGGACGUUUGUGUUUUGCGGCGAGUCGUGAAGGUCACCUAAUGGAUAUACUAUCGUACGUGCAUGUACGUCGCCUGACGCCGGCACCUGGAUUGAUUUUCCAUUCUAUCAUCGCUGCCGCUAUGGUUUUGUACGGCACCAUCGGCUCUCUGAUUGACUUCUUCAGCUUCACCGCCUGGAUUUUCUAUGGCGGUGCUAUGUUGGCACUCAUUGUGAUGCGUUACACCAAACCCAACUAUCCAAGGCCAUACAAAGUGCCUCUCAUCAUUCCUGUUGUGGUGCUGGUGAUCUCUAUAUAUCUGGUGGUGGCGCCGAUUAUCGAUACACCGCGCAUUGAAUAUCUCUAUGCGCUGCUCUUCAUAUUGGGCGGUUUGAUAUUCUAUGUGCCAUUUGUUAAAUUAGGCAUGACACCGAGAUUUAUGAACAAAGUGACACUCUUCUUCCAGCUGCUGUUGGAAGUGGUGCCAACCUCAUCGAUGUUCGAAUAAAACUGCAAGAGGUUAAUAUUAAUUGCAGAAAAAUGAAAACCAGCUGAGACAAAACCGUAUACAACAACCAAACAAUACAAAUAUAUAAAUAAAGGAUCAUUCAAUGAAAAGUAAAGGAGAGACUACCUAUUCAGGAUCUGAGGGAAUAAUCAUUUUAAAUGAGAAAAUUCUGCUCUAACAAAUACAACGCAUACAACAUGCACGUGAUAAUGACACCAACAACACACACUCGUGCAUACACACAUACAUACCUACCUAUAUAGCCACAUAUUUCCUCUAUAGAUAUGAAUAUUUGAGGAAUUUAAAUCUUGCAUAACAACUUACAUACAUACAUACAUAUGUAUCUAGGUAUUUUGGAAACACUUUUUGGUCUUAUUAAUGUACUUUUUAUAUAGUAUUUUGUUAUACGAGUACAUACAUUAUAUUAUAAUAUUAAAUAUGAUUAAACCUUUCGAGAGAUUUAUUUUUAUUUUACUACGUAUCUACAAAAAAAAUUUGA
Molecule: RNA transcript, 3265 nt
Organism: Anastrepha obliqua
Lineage: Eukaryota; Metazoa; Arthropoda; Insecta; Diptera; Tephritidae
Gene: sbm
Gene name: b(0,+)-type amino acid transporter 1
Exons: 9
Source: RefSeq, a predicted model, not a curated record